GCGCGAAAACUUUACAAUGCUGGCAACAGCGAUAAGGGAACCUCGCGUGCCAGGUUACAAAUCUGGCUGUCGAGAUGCCUAAAAAGCAUUUCAUAGCAAGGGCCGGGCAAGACCGGUGCCAGCCGCCGCGGUAACACCGGCGGCUCGAGUGGUAACCGUUAUUAUUGGGUCUAAAGGGUCUGUAGCCGGCCGGAUAAGUCUCUUGAGAAAUCUGGCAACUUAACGGUCAGGCUUUCAGGAGAUACUGUCUGGCUCGAGGCCGGGAGAGAUGAGAGGUACUUCAGGGGUAGGGGUGAAAUCUUGUAAUCCUUGAAGGACCACCAGUGGCGAAGGCGUCUCACCAGAACGGACCUGACGGCAAGGGACGAAAGCUAGGGGCACGAACC
RNAcentral lists this ribosomal RNA (386 nucleotides) under uncultured prokaryote. RNAcentral's name for it is "bacterial SSU rRNA". It matches the Rfam family "Archaeal small subunit ribosomal RNA", at positions 339 to 725 of the family's 1478-position model. The record is from RNAcentral.